Long non-coding RNA from Cucumis sativus (cucumber), 785 nucleotides. RefSeq lists it as uncharacterized. Lineage: Eukaryota; Viridiplantae; Streptophyta; Magnoliopsida; Cucurbitales; Cucurbitaceae. The transcript has 3 exons. The record is from RefSeq and is a predicted model, not a curated record.
UCUGUGUGUUCCAAACUUUUCAUCUCUUCUUCUUCGUUAUUCUACGACUGCCCACUACUCUCCCUUCUUUUCUUUUCAGUUCAACUCCUUCAACGAUCGACGACCGACGACCGCCGCCUGCCUCUGUCUCCUAUUGAAGUUCAGCUGAAGCGUUCGUCGUGGUUCGCAUCGUCUCUCCGUUCGCGAAGUUGCCGCCGAUCUCCAUCUUCUUUCUCUUCCUCAUUUUGGUUAGCCGUCGUUGUAUUUCCCUUAGAUGACCGCCGACCGAUCCAGUUUUUCUUUCCUUCGCAUCCGACCAUCGUGAAUCGUGGAGUGCUGCCGUUGCAUUUUCGUCCAUCGACCGUGAAGCAGCCGCACGUGGUUCCCCUCUUCUAGCCACGAAUCGAAAGUCGACCCACGCUCAGAUCUCUGUUUGCACACUCUCUUUCUCGUUAGUUUGAGAGCCGUUGCCUCUACAUUGUCGUGGUUCGUGGUGCAAGUUGAGAACAACAUUUAAAUUCCUUGAGUUUCAAACGAGUUGGAUUGAAGUUUGAUUCUCCACAAUUUGGACAAAAGUAAUACGAGAGGCAGACCGACGAGGGACAAAAAGGAGACGUGAUCGCCAUAGGGGGACAUUCUUCAAAAUUUCUUCCACUUACAGAUUUUAAUGUUUUACUUAAAUAUUUGUGAUUGAAAUGAGUUUCAUGUUUAGAACGACAGUUUAUUUCUUAAUGAUUUCAUAAACGAUACUUUCGAACCUUUAUUUUGUUUGAAAUAGGAUCCGAAUAAUGAUUCUUUGAUGUUUA